RNAcentral lists this ribosomal RNA (622 nucleotides) under uncultured Alphaproteobacteria bacterium. Its description in RNAcentral is "bacterial SSU rRNA". It matches the Rfam family "Bacterial small subunit ribosomal RNA", at positions 1 to 678 of the family's 1533-position model. The record is from RNAcentral. Lineage: Bacteria; Pseudomonadati; Pseudomonadota; Alphaproteobacteria.
UGAGUUUGAUUCUGGCUCAGAACGAACGCUGGCGGCAGGCCUAACACAUGCAAGUCGAGCGCGCCUUCGGGCGAGCGGCGGACGGGUUAGUAACGCGUGGGAACGUGCCCAGAUCUACGGAAUAGCCACUGGAAACGGUGAGUAAUACCGUAUACGCCCUUCGGGGGAAAGAUUUAUCGGAUUUGGAUCGGCCCGCGUUAGAUUAGGUAGUUGGUGGGGUAACGGCCUACCAAGCCUACGAUCUAUAGCUGGUUUUAGAGGAUGAUCAGCAACACUGGGACUGAGACACGGCCCAGACUCCUACGGGAGGCAGCAGUGGGGAAUCUUGGACAAUGGGGGCAACCCUGAUCCAGCCAUGCCGCGUGAGUGAAGAAGGCCCUAGGGUCGUAAAACUCUUUCGCCUGUGAUGAUAAUGACAGUAGCAGGUAAAGAAACCCCGGCUAACUCCGUGCCAGCAGCCGCGGUAAUACGGAGGGGGUUAGCGUUGUUCGGAAUUACUGGGCGUAAAGCGCACGUAGGCGGAUUAGAAAGUUAGAGGUGAAAUCCCGGGGCUCAACCCCGGAACUGCCUUUAAAACUACUAGUCUAGAGUUCGAGAGAGGUGAGUGGAAUUCCGAGUGUAG